This 340-nucleotide long non-coding RNA is filed under the name Brassica rapa (field mustard). RNAcentral's name for it is "long non-coding RNA (BRAP_LNC006350)". The record is from RNAcentral. Lineage: Eukaryota; Viridiplantae; Streptophyta; Magnoliopsida; Brassicales; Brassicaceae.
GUUGAUGUACCAAUUUAAUAUAAUUUUCAUAUUUGAUUCAUAGAAUACUUAUUUAAAUAUAAUAUAGACUAUAAAUAUAUAAUUUAAAAAAAACAGCAUAGAAUUUUUUUUGUUUAUAAAAAUAUUUUAAUUAACAUUAGUUUAUAUAGUUGUAGAAUCACAAGCGUCAAAAUUUUUUGUAUUCCGUACAAUUAUUAUUUAUAUUCCGUAAAAACACAUUAGCAACCUAGUCAUUUAUAAUGAGAGUACUAAUUCAAAUUAACACGCGUCAAGAUUCUUUGUAUAGACAGUGUGUUCAGAGCUUCUUUAGUCGGACUUGGAAUUUAAAAAAAUAUUAUCA